RNAcentral lists this ribosomal RNA (520 nucleotides) under uncultured bacterium. Its description in RNAcentral is "bacterial SSU rRNA". It matches the Rfam family "Bacterial small subunit ribosomal RNA", at positions 120 to 674 of the family's 1533-position model. The record is from RNAcentral.
GGGAAUCUACCGAGCCCUGCGGAAUAGCUCCGGGAAACCGGAAUUAAUACCGCAUACGCCCUACGGGGGAAAGAUUUAUCGGGGUUUGAUGAGCCCGCGUUGGAUUAGCUAGUUGGUGGGGUAAAGGCCUACCAAGGCGACGAUCCAUAGCUGGUCUGAGAGGAUGAUCAGCCACAUUGGGACUGAGACACGGCCCAAACUCCUACGGGAGGCAGCAGUGGGGAAUAUUGGACAAUGGGCGCAAGCCUGAUCCAGCCAUGCCGCGUGAGUGAUGAAGGCCCUAGGGUUGUAAAGCUCUUUCAACGGUGAAGAUAAUGACGGUAACCGUAGAAGAAGCCCCGGCUAACUUCGUGCCAGCAGCCGCGGUAAUACGAAGGGGGCUAGCGUUGUUCGGAAUUACUGGGCGUAAAGCGCACGUAGGCGGAUAUUUAAGUCAGGGGUGAAAUCCCGGGGCUCAACCUCGGAACUGCCUUUGAUACUGGGUAUCUUGAGUAUGGAAGAGGUAAGUGGAAUUGCGAGU